This 945-nucleotide ribosomal RNA is filed under the name Gymnopus sp. Its description in RNAcentral is "partial large subunit ribosomal RNA". It matches the Rfam family "Eukaryotic large subunit ribosomal RNA", at positions 33 to 964 of the family's 3401-position model. Lineage: Eukaryota; Fungi; Basidiomycota; Agaricomycetes; Agaricales; Omphalotaceae. The record is from RNAcentral.
GCUAGCAUAUCAAUAAGCGGAGGAAAAGAAACUAACAAGGAUUCCCCUAGUAACUGCGAGUGAAGAGGGAAAAGCUCAAAUUUAAAAUCUGGCAGUCUUUGAUUGUCCGAGUUGUAAUUUAGAGAAGUGUUACCCGUGUUGGGCCGUGUAUAAGUCUCCUGGAAUGGAGCGUCAUAGAGGGUGAGAAUCCCGUCUUUGACACGGACUUCCGAUACAUUGUGGUAUGCUCUCGAAGAGUCGAGUUGUUUGGGAAUGCAGCUCUAAAUGGGUGGUAAAUUCCAUCUAAAGCUAAAUAUUGGGGAGAGACCGAUAGCGAACAAGUACCGUGAGGGAAAGAUGAAAAGAACUUUGGAAAGAGAGUUAAACAGUACGUGAAAUUGCUGAAAGGGAAACGCUUGAAGUCAGUCGCGUUAGUUUGGGAUCAGCCUUCCUUUUGGUUGGUGUACUUCCUUACUGAUGGGUCAGCAUCAGUUUUGAUCAGUGGAUAAAAGCUUGAGGAAUGUGGCAUCUUCGGGUGUGUUAUAGCCUCUUGUUGUAUACAUUGGUUGGGACUGAGGAACUCAGCACGCCGCAAGGCCGGGUUUUUAACCACGUACGUGCUUAGGAUGCUGGCAUAAUGGCUUUAAUCGACCCGUCUUGAAACACGGACCAAGGAGUCUAACAUGCCUGCGAGUGUUUGGGUGGAAAACUCGAACGCGUAAUGAAAGUGAAAGUUAGGAUCUCUGUCGUGGAGAGCACUGACGCCCGGCCCAGAGCUUCUGUGACGGUGCUGCGGUUGAGCAUGUAUGUUGGGACCCGAAAGAUGGUGAACUAUGCCUGAAUAGGGUGAAGCCAGAGGAAACUCUGGUGGAGGCUCGUAGCGAUUCUGACGUGCAAAUCGAUCGUCGAAUUUGGGGUAUAGGGGCGAAAGACUAAUCGAACCAUCUAGUAGCUGGUUCCUGCGAG